RNAcentral lists this ribosomal RNA (459 nucleotides) under uncultured bacterium. RNAcentral's name for it is "partial 16S ribosomal RNA". It matches the Rfam family "Bacterial small subunit ribosomal RNA", at positions 338 to 795 of the family's 1533-position model. The record is from RNAcentral.
CCUACGGGUGGCAGCAGUGAGGAAUAUUGGUCAAUGGGCGCGAGCCUGAACCAGCCAAGUCGCGUGAGGGAAGACGGUCCUAUGGAUUGUAAACCUCUUUUGUCGAGGAGCAAAAGACGCCACGCGUGGCGUUCCGAGAGUACCCGAAGAAAAAGCAUCGGCUAACUCCGUGCCAGCAGCCGCGGUAAUACGGAGGAUGCGAGCGUUAUCCGGAUUUAUUGGGUUUAAAGGGUGCGCAGGCGGAAGAUAAAGUCAGCGGGAAAAUUGAGGGCUUCAACCUAUACGAGCAGUUGAAACUGGUUGUCUUGAGUGCGCGAGAGGUAUGCGGAAUGCGUGGUGUAGCGGUGAAAUGCAUAGAUAUCACGAAGAACUCCGAUUGCGAAGGCAGCAUACCGGAGCUCAACUGACGCUCAUGCACGAAAGUGUGGGUAUCGAACAGGAUUAGAUACCCCAGUAGUC